Non-coding RNA from Parelaphostrongylus tenuis, 73 nucleotides. NCBI's taxonomy places the organism in Eukaryota, Metazoa, Nematoda, Chromadorea, Rhabditida, Metastrongylidae. The record is from the annotation of a GenBank genome assembly.
GACGAAGUGCUUUAGUAAUAUAAUUCUCGCUUUGGGUGCGAGAGGUCCCGGUUUCGAUCACCGGUUUGGGUCG